RNAcentral lists this ribosomal RNA (492 nucleotides) under uncultured bacterium. Its description in RNAcentral is "partial 16S ribosomal RNA". It matches the Rfam family "Bacterial small subunit ribosomal RNA", at positions 29 to 507 of the family's 1533-position model. The record is from RNAcentral.
AGUGAACGCUGGCGGUAGGCCUAACACAUGCAAGUCGAACGGCAGCACAGUAAGAGCUUGCUCUUACGGGUGGCGAGUGGCGGAUAGGUGAGGAAUACAUCGGAAUCUACUUUUUCGUGGGGGAUAACGUAGGGAAACUUACGCUAAUACCGCAUACGACCUACGGGUGAAAGCAGGGGAUCUUCGGACCUUGCGCGAUUGAAUGAGCCGAUGUCGGAUUAGCUAGUUGGCGGGGUAAAGGCCCACCAAGGCGACGAUCCGUAGCUGGUCUGAGAGGAUGAUCAGCCACACUGGAACUGAGACACGGUCCAGACUCCUACGGGAGGCAGCAGUGGGGAAUAUUGGACAAUGGGCGCAAGCCUGAUCCAGCCAUACCGCGUGGGUGAAGAAGGCCUUCGGGUUGUAAAGCCCUUUUGUUGGGAAAGAAAAGCAGCAGGUUAAUACCCCGCUGUUCUGACGGUACCCAAAGAAUAAGCACCGGCUAACUUCGUG